AAUGUCAUUCGGUUACAGAAACUUUGUCGGGGAGAGAACAGCAUUAUCACAAAUUUGGAAGCAAAGGUUGCCACCUUGGAGGAACAGUUGAACGCCGAAUCUUCGUAAGUUGAUGGAAUAUUUUACAUUUGUACUACUGAUAAGGUGGGUCUUCCGAUCAGUGGUAAAGAGUCCAUUUUCCCUUCGAUAACAAUGAUACGUGUUCGCGUCUGCCUCGUUUGGUUUCUGAUGGUCACCGAGCAUUCUCCCAACACUGAGAUGCAAAAGUGCUCGAAUCUUUGUUCUGGGUUUCUUCAGCCGAAUUCGGAUCCAAUGCUCUGACGUCGCCGAAAUUGCUCCUCGUCCAUUAUGUUGGUGUCAGAUUCUGCAUCUGGCUCAAUUUCUGUUGCUACAUUAUUAAUCGUCACCGUGCAAGAUUUAGAUUGUUUCUUUCUGUUCACUCGAGAUGUUCGUUUAAUGCGAAGCAUGAAUGCGAAGGUGUUGUAUAAAGUCUUGGUCGUACGAGCUGUCACUGGAACAGGAAUCCGUUGAGUUCUCGUCUUGAUGUUUGACGUGUCUUAUGUUUGGUUUUCCGUCAUCUGGUUUAAGAUUGGUGGCGAUCGAAGGUGGACAGCAAGAUCGAAGCUCAGCAAGAUUGAAAAUUGUUCGAGGAAGAAGGAGUUCGCCGUUGACUAAAAGGUUUAUCUGAACAGCUAGUUGUCAAGAUGAACGUGAAGAGAAAAAAGAUGGAAUAGAAGACUCGCCCGGCCAAAUUCAAAAUGGCGAUGCCAAAGAAAACCAUCCACGUGGACCGUUCACGGACCUUU
Dendronephthya gigantea is the source of this 806-nucleotide long non-coding RNA. RefSeq lists it as uncharacterized. NCBI's taxonomy places the organism in Eukaryota, Metazoa, Cnidaria, Anthozoa, Malacalcyonacea, Nephtheidae. The transcript has 3 exons. The record is from RefSeq and is a predicted model, not a curated record.